GGCAAUAACAGGUCUGUG
Molecule: unclassified non-coding RNA, 18 nt
Filed under: Dictyostelium discoideum
Lineage: Eukaryota; Evosea; Eumycetozoa; Dictyosteliales; Dictyosteliaceae
Source: RNAcentral